Arabidopsis lyrata subsp. lyrata is the source of this 1518-nucleotide long non-coding RNA. RefSeq lists it as uncharacterized. NCBI's taxonomy places the organism in Eukaryota, Viridiplantae, Streptophyta, Magnoliopsida, Brassicales, Brassicaceae. The transcript has 3 exons. The record is from RefSeq and is a predicted model, not a curated record.
AAAAUCUAAUUUCUAUCUUCUCCAUCCUCUUUCUCUCUUUUACGCUCUAUUCCUCGAUUCUUCCCUUCUUCCUUGAUUUUUCCCUUCUCCUUACCUCUCCUUACCUACUCACUCUUUUCCUAUGAUUAUACACCCCUAGAUCUAUUGGAUUUUAUCAAUUUCUAUUACUCUUUGUCAUUCUCGCUCUUAUCCCAAAUUCUUCUUCUUCUUAAAUUCUAUGAAUUCUUCAUCCUCCAUCUCCGUCGCUCGUCCAGAUCCCCUAAACCAUAGGUUUUGAUUUCGUUGGCUAGAAACCCCAAAACAUCUUCGUCGCAUGUAUGAUUUUGUUAGGGUUCAGUAGAUUCAUGAGCACUUGGGUUAGAUUUUGUUAGGGUUAGAUCGAUUUGGAUUAUAUUGAUUUCUUAGAAGAUUUAGGCCGGAGUGGAGUGGUUUAUGUUCUGAUGAUGCUUUUCAUGCCCUCCAGGUGCUCGACGAAUUGCCUCAUUAUUGACUUGCUUGUUUCUUAACUGUUUUGUGUUGAUUUAGGUUUUGUCUUGUUGCUGUUAAAACUUGCAGGUACUUACUGUUUCGUUUGUUUCUAUACAACGGUUUUAUGCACUCCACGCGGUCUUACUUAGUAGACAUGUUCUGUUUUUGUUGUUGUGAGGGUGUCUUGAUUUUGAUUUCCAAGUGAGUUUGAAUAAAUUUGUGGCAAAAAGUUUCAGAAAAUAAUUAGACGUUAAUUGAAUCAAGUUGGUGAGUCCUUCAAAAAACAAUUUGUGGCCUACACGUCUCGACAACCUCUCUUCUUUACACGUUUUGUGUGAGUCCUUAACGAUUUGGUUUUGUGUGAGUCCUUAACGUUAGCAUUAUAUAUAGUGGUUAGUCAAAUUUACUAGGUUUGGUUUCUCGAAUGUGAAGGCUUUGUCUCUUUGUAAACCAAUUUGAUGUCUUCUCCUAAGUAAUUUCAAGCUAGAUUCAUUCGUACUUGCUCUUAGAGCAUGAUUAGUCUAUUUAGUUCAAUUUUGUGCUUAGAUGAAGAGUUUCACGUGACUCUACCUCACUAUUUGAAUAUUAGUCUAAGUGGAAACAUUCUAGUCAUACUUGUUUGUAUUUCUUCUCUCUCCAUAUGUUUCUUUCUUCUAAAAUCUCAUUUAUCUGCAAGGGAUAAGGACUUACUAUGCAGCUAUCAAGAAAGUGGUGUAUAAAAUUAAGAAAGUUGGCACGAGGAUCAACGAUCUAUGUGGUAUCAUGGAGUUUGUUAAAAAAAAACUUGCUUAUAUGAUAAAAAAGAGGUUAAUUAACAACAUCAAGACUGUGAAAAAGAUUUUGGACAUGAAGGUGCAGAAGUCAUACUAUUGAUGAGGCCUAACGAUAAGCUCCUGGUCUGAAGCAAGAUAAUGUUAGGUAGUUUAAGUUGAAAUUUAUGGUUGUGUGACACAGAUAAAGUUAUUUCGGUUUGGUUUUGAAACUAAUGUAGUCAAACUAGAGUUCUUAUUUAAUUGUAUUAUUCUUCAUUAAUUGAAACCGGAUUGAAUA